This 974-nucleotide long non-coding RNA is filed under the name Setaria viridis. RNAcentral describes it as "long non-coding RNA (SVIR_LNC002627)". The record is from RNAcentral. Lineage: Eukaryota; Viridiplantae; Streptophyta; Magnoliopsida; Poales; Poaceae.
CGAGCUUUGGUGAGCCCCCGACCGUGAUGUGCUUGCUGUUGAGGCAAACCAUUCAAGUUCGCGCACUCAACCCAGAGCAUGCCGCCGGCCAUGCCUGCCACUCACCGAGGAUAGGUCUAGGGUUUGGUAUUCGGGGAGGUAAAAGAAGGAGGAGGUGCACUUAGGUGUGGGGAACAUUCUGGGGUAGUCUCCAGGGUGGGCCCCCCCGCCUUUGCACUGGCGUGGCCGCGCCACCGCCGUCGUCAUGCUGGCGUGUGUGCGUGCCCAAGGUUGAAGAAGGGGCGGGGUGUUGUAUGUGAAGGUAAUAGAAGUCUAGGGGGUUAUGCAUAAAAGGUUUGUGUUUAAUUGUUAGGAGGAAUUUCUUCCAGGGCCUAAGCGCUAGAUGUGAGGUCCAUUUUGAAAAAGGAAGGGCAGAUAUUUUAGGAAAUAAGGUUCCAAGGGGCCUCGGUGUGAAAGUAGUUUAGUUAAUAUUUGUAAAUCUUGACUGCAACUUGUGAAAUCCAUAGGAAAUCAUAGAAAAAGGUAAAAAUGCAAACUAAAUUUGGUCGCUUUCCUGAUGCUCAGUUCUACCUAGGAAAAAUACUUGUUCAUGUGAAGUCUAUAUUUUUGUUGCUGAUUAAAAUGCUUGUUGUUUAAUCUCCUUCUUUUGGAAUAAAUAGCUCGAGUAAUCAUAAAAUUCUGAUAAAUUCAGAAUAAAAUAUUCCUAUGUUGAGAAGUAUUAUGGGAAUAUUGUAGAACCAAAUUGCUUAUAUAACUUUAGAUAUAAAUUAUUCUACAUAUCUACAAUUUUGCAAUGUUUGAUUUUUAAUAAACUCUGUGGAAGUCCAAUCAUGCUGAAGUUUUUACAGUAAUGUGUUUGUGUGAUUAGUAAGCUCCUAUAAAUGAUUUAUGUUCAUAUAACACAGAAUACUUCCUGAAUAAUUAUUCUUUCUAUAAACUAGUUUAAAUUAUUAAAAAUAAUUGCUGCUAGAAUU